This 104-nucleotide small nucleolar RNA is filed under the name Jaculus jaculus (lesser Egyptian jerboa). Its description in RNAcentral is "Small nucleolar RNA SNORA33 (ENSJJAG00000000700.1)". It matches the Rfam family "Small nucleolar RNA SNORA33". Rfam says of the family: ACA33 is a member of the H/ACA class of snoRNA that guide the sites of modification of uridines to pseudouridines. The record is from Rfam by way of RNAcentral. Lineage: Eukaryota; Metazoa; Chordata; Mammalia; Rodentia; Dipodidae.
CAGCUAGCCAAUUAAUCUGUUUAUCUUAAUGUAUUUCUGCAGAAAUAUAGAAAUAGCUGACAACAAUGAAGCCAUUUUAUGAGCCUUAAGGAAUGGCUACAAUA